AAGAGAGAGGGAAAGAAAGAAAAUCCCACGCAGGCAGCCACAGGGCUCAAACUCACAAACUGUGACAUCAGAACCUGAGCUGAAAUUAAGAGUCGAACGCUUAACUGACUGAGCCGCCCAGGCACCCCCAAGAUGGGCACAUUUUAGAGGUAAUACUUCCAUAGUGUUUUUAGCUUUCAUAACUUACUCUUUUUAAUCUUUCACAGCAUAUUAUGAUGUAUUUGUUGCAUAUUAGUUUCAUUCUUGAUAGAUGAGACAACCAAAGUCAUGGACUACUGAAAUGAAUCGCAAGGCCACAGUCUUUAGUUAAUCCCAAGGAAGGGCUGCUCUCCAGAUUCCCAGGUGAAUCCUUCCACAGCCUUUCGGAAAAAGAGUUGCUAGAAACAGGCUUCCUGGUUGGAUGAAGACCAUUUUUAAGGCAACUUCACAUGUGAGAUAAAUGCACUCAGAGACUCCUCACAAGUAGCUCUUUGGAGCUUCAGAUGUGAAAUGGAUCAUUCCUCAAUCUGUAAUAGACCCUUCUGUGAAGCUCUUCAAUCAAACCUGAGAAUUCAAGGCGUUUUGUAGCAUCCUAAACAGAAGGAUAUUGAAGGGAGCUGAUUCUGCUUUGAUCCUUGUGCUUGUUGUCAAAGCGCUUGGGAUUGAAGAGACUGUUGGCUACAAUUGACUGUGACAAUUAGGAGAUGAUCAGAGCCCUAGAGUGGAGCACUUAAAGGGUUUGCAUUUAAAACGCUCUUGGAGCACUAAUUGUAUGAAAUUCUGGUAGCUGCACAUUCUCUUUUUGGAGAGGUAAUGAGUGAAUGAAUGAAAAGGCAGGGAUCAUUUGCCAUUCUAAGAGCGGGGAUUGUCAGAAUAUUUCUACUUGACUGAAAUUGUUUUGGAAGGUGAGCUGGAACAAGAAUCUUGCAACUAAAAUGAAGUGACUCUGCAUGUGGUUUUGGGAUGUUUCUCUUCUCUGCAGAGCUGUUCUGGGACUUGGAAGUUGACUUAGAUUUUAUUUAUAAGGUGAAUCCUGUGAAAACAUUUUAAAGUACGCAUCUUUGAGUCUUAACAAGUAGGCGGGAGUCUUUGGAAAGCUCAUUUGGAAUUAUUUGAAAAGACUUUUCCUGUUACUAUCACAGUGUUUUUUCAAUAUACAGAUUGCCAGGUUGUGACAAAAUAAAUUAUUGAAAGCUUUCAAAAGUUUUUAGAAAUGUGCCCAAGGAAACAAUAUGCAAAUUGUUAGAGUUAAUUCACAUGUCAAUUUAUUGAAAUGUUGCUACUACUGAGGAGUCCAAGAACCUUUAGCACAACAUUCCAGAACAUUUACAGUCUUGUUUUAAUGAGUAGCUCUUUCUUUGUACUUGUUUGUAGCAAUAGAGUUGCCAGAUAGAGCAAAUAAAAAUAAAGAAUUCCUAGUUAAAUUUGAA
Molecule: long non-coding RNA, 1409 nt
Organism: Panthera uncia (snow leopard)
Lineage: Eukaryota; Metazoa; Chordata; Mammalia; Carnivora; Felidae
Exons: 5
Source: RefSeq, a predicted model, not a curated record